AUUGAACGCUGGCGGAAUGCUUUACACAUGCAAGUCGAACGGCAGCACGGGGCAACCUGGUGGCGAGUGGCGAACGGGUGAGUAAUACAUCGGAACGUGCCCAAUCGUGGGGGGAUAACGUAGCGAAAGUUACGCUAAUACCGCAUACGAUCUACGGAUGAAAGCGGGGGAUCGCAAGACCUCGCGCGAGUGGAGCGGCCGAUGUCAGAUUAGGUAGUUGGUGGGGUAAAGGCUCACCAAGCCAACGAUCUGUAGCUGGUCUGAGAGGACGACCAGCCACACUGGAACUGAGACACGGUCCAGACUCCUACGGGAGGCAGCAGUGGGGAAUUUUGGACAAUGGGCGCAAGCCUGAUCCAGCCAUUCCGCGUGCAGGAUGAAGGCCUUCGGGUUGUAAACUGCUUUUGUACGGAACGAAAGACUCCUUCUAAUAAGGGGUUCAUGACGGUACCGUAAGAAUAAGCACCGGACUAACUACGUGCCAGCAGCCGCGGUAACACGAG
This 503-nucleotide ribosomal RNA is filed under the name uncultured bacterium. Its description in RNAcentral is "bacterial SSU rRNA". It matches the Rfam family "Bacterial small subunit ribosomal RNA", at positions 30 to 529 of the family's 1533-position model. The record is from RNAcentral.